Molecule: ribosomal RNA, 252 nt
Filed under: Acidobacteriota bacterium
Lineage: Bacteria; Pseudomonadati; Acidobacteriota
Description: partial 16S ribosomal RNA
Rfam family: Bacterial small subunit ribosomal RNA
Source: RNAcentral
UCUCAGUUCGGAUUGGGGUCUGCAACUCGACCCCAUGAAGUCGGAGUCGCUAGUAAUCGCAGAUCAGCAACGCUGCGGUGAAUACGUUCCCGGGCCUUGUACACACCGCCCGUCAAGUCACGAAAGUUGGUAACACCCGAAGCCGGUGGCCUAACCCCUUGUGGGAGGGAGCUGUCGAAGGUGGGACCGGCGAUUGGGACUAAGUCGUAACAAGGUAGCCGUACCGGAAGGUGCGGCUGGAUCACCUCCUUU